UUCAGUUACUGAGGAAGGUGCUCGGUGAGACUGCCUUUUUCCAACAAGGGCAUCCAGCUUGUUUCAUAACAGACAACAGUGACGCUGAGCGUAAUGCCUUGAAGACUGUAUGGCCAGAAUCUCAGCGCUUUCUGUGCAUAUUCCACAUCCUGCAGCAGGUCUGGAGGUGGCUGUGUGAUGGUUCACAUGGCAUCAAGAAGGAAGAUCGCCGAGUACUAAUGACAGUGGCAAAGAAUCUGGUAUAUGCUGAUUCAGAUGAAACAUUUCAAGAUGAAUGGAAUUGCUUUUGUCAGACCCCAGAAGCCCAAAAGUAUAACCAGUACAUGAGAUAUAGGCUACCGUACAAGAGGGAAAAAAUACAUACGUUGGUAUCUGGCAAAGCUGAUAGAAAGGAAGGAAGAAUGGAGUACUGUGUACAGGGCUGGAUUUUUGCUACGUGGACACCACACAAAUAAUUUUGCAGAAUCUACCAUGUGCAUCAUUAAAGAUAUCAUUCUC
Eriocheir sinensis (Chinese mitten crab) is the source of this 498-nucleotide long non-coding RNA. RefSeq lists it as uncharacterized. The transcript is spliced from 3 exons. The record is from RefSeq and is a predicted model, not a curated record. NCBI's taxonomy places the organism in Eukaryota, Metazoa, Arthropoda, Malacostraca, Decapoda, Varunidae.